Molecule: small nuclear RNA, 97 nt
Filed under: Cervus elaphus hippelaphus
Lineage: Eukaryota; Metazoa; Chordata; Mammalia; Artiodactyla; Cervidae
Source: RNAcentral
GGCAGCACAUAUAUACCACCAUGGGAAUAAUACAGAGAAGGCUGGUGUGGCCUCUGUACCCAGAGGACGUUUAAAAUUAAGAAGUGAUCUGUUUUUU